AUUGAACGCUGGCGGCAGGCCUAACACAUGCAAGUCGAGCGGAAACGAGUUAUCUAAACCUUCGGGGAACGAUAACGGCGUCGAGCGGCGGACGGGUGAGUAAUGCCUAGGAAAUUGCCCUGAUGUGGGGGAUAACCAUUGGAAACGAUGGCUAAUACCGCAUGAUGCCUACGGGCCAAAGAGGGGGACCUUCGGGCCUCUCGCGUCAGGAUAUGCCUAGGUGGGAUUAGCUAGUUGGUGAGGUAAGGGCUCACCAAGGCAACGAUCCCUAGCUGGUCUGAGAGGAUGAUCAGCCACACUGGAACUGAGACACGGUCCAGACUCCUACGGGAGGCAGCAGUGGGGAAUAUUGCACAAUGGGCGCAAGCCUGAUGCAGCCAUGCCGCGUGUGUGAAGAAGGCCUUCGGGUUGUAAAGCACUUUCAGUCGUGAGGAAGGUAGUGUGUUUAAUAGAUGCAUUAUUUGACGUUAGCGACAGAAGAAGCACCGGCUAACUCCGUGCCAGCAGCCGCGGUAAUACGGAGGGUGCGAGCGUUAAUCGGAAUUACUGGGCGUAAAGCGCAUGCAGGUGGUUUGUUAAGUCAGAUGUGAAAGCCCGGGGCUCAACCUCGGAAUAGCAUUUGAAACUGGCAGACUAGAGUACUGUAGAGGGGGGUAGAAUUUCAGGUGUAGCGGUGAAAUGCGUAGAGAUCUGAAGGAAUACCGGUGGCGAAGACGGCCCCCUGGACAGAUACUGACACUCAGAUGCGAAAGCGUGGGGAGCAAACAGG
Molecule: ribosomal RNA, 769 nt
Filed under: uncultured Pseudoalteromonadaceae bacterium
Lineage: Bacteria; Pseudomonadati; Pseudomonadota; Gammaproteobacteria; Alteromonadales; Pseudoalteromonadaceae
Description: bacterial SSU rRNA
Rfam family: Bacterial small subunit ribosomal RNA
Source: RNAcentral